UACGAAGGGGGCGAGCGUUGUUCGGAAUUACUGGGCGUAAAGGGUGCGUAGGCGGCCUAUUAAGUCAGGGGUGAAAGACGGUAGCUUAACUAUCGCAGUGCCUUUGAUACUGAUGGGCUUGAAUGUACUUGAGAUAGGCGGAAUGUGACAAGUAGCGGUGAAAUGCAUAGAUAUGUCACAGAACACCAAUUGCGAAGGCAGCUUACUAAAGUAUGAUUGACGCUGAGGCACGAAAGCGUGGGGAUCAAACAGG
This 253-nucleotide ribosomal RNA is filed under the name uncultured bacterium. RNAcentral describes it as "partial 16S ribosomal RNA". It matches the Rfam family "Bacterial small subunit ribosomal RNA", at positions 524 to 776 of the family's 1533-position model. The record is from RNAcentral.